RNAcentral lists this ribosomal RNA (245 nucleotides) under uncultured Luteolibacter sp. RNAcentral's name for it is "partial 16S ribosomal RNA". It matches the Rfam family "Bacterial small subunit ribosomal RNA", at positions 524 to 768 of the family's 1533-position model. The record is from RNAcentral. Lineage: Bacteria; Pseudomonadati; Verrucomicrobiota; Verrucomicrobiia; Verrucomicrobiales; Verrucomicrobiaceae.
UACGAAGGUCCCGAGCGUUGUUCGGAUUUACUGGGCGUAAAGCGUCUGUAGGCGGCGCGGUAAGUCAGAUGUGAAAUCCCGGGGCUCAACCCCGGAACUGCAUCCGAUACUGCCGUGCUAGAGGGUCGGAGGGGAGUCUGGAAUUCUCGGUGUAGCAGUGAAAUGCGUAGAUAUCGAGAGGAACACUAGAGGCGAAGGCGAGACUCUGGACGACACCUGACGCUGAGAGACGAAGGCCAGGGGAG